This 429-nucleotide ribosomal RNA is filed under the name Acidobacteriota bacterium. RNAcentral describes it as "Acidobacteria bacterium partial 16S ribosomal RNA". It matches the Rfam family "Bacterial small subunit ribosomal RNA", at positions 355 to 776 of the family's 1533-position model. The record is from RNAcentral. Lineage: Bacteria; Pseudomonadati; Acidobacteriota.
UGGGGAAUCUUCCGCAAUGGACGAAAGUCUGACGGAGCAACGCCGCGUGAGUGAUGAAGGAUUUCGGUCUGUAAAGCUCUGUUGUUUAUGACGAACGUGCAGUGUGUGAACAAUGCAUUGCAAUGACGGUAGUAAACGAGGAAGCCACGGCUAACUACGUGCCAGCAGCCGCGGUAAUACGUAGGUGGCGAGCGUUGUCCGGAAUUAUUGGGCGUAAAGAGCAUGUAGGCGGCUUAAUAAGUCGAGCGUGAAAAUGCGGGGCUCAACCCCGUAUGGCGCUGGAAACUGUUAGGCUUGGGUGCAGGAGAGGAAAGGGGAAUUCCCAGUGUAGCGGUGAAAUGCGUAGAUAUUGGGAGGAACACCAGUGGCGAGGGCGCCUUUCUGGACUGUGUCUGACGCUGAGAUGCGAAAGCCAGGGUAGCGAACGGG